GUGCUUGGUUUGGCAGCACAUAUACUAACAUUGGAAUGAUACAGAAGAGAUUAGCAUGGCCCCUGUGCAAGGAUGACAUGCAAACUCGUGAAGCGUUCCAUAUUUUU
Molecule: small nuclear RNA, 107 nt
Organism: Kogia breviceps (pygmy sperm whale)
Lineage: Eukaryota; Metazoa; Chordata; Mammalia; Artiodactyla; Physeteridae
Source: RefSeq, a predicted model, not a curated record